RNAcentral lists this small nucleolar RNA (114 nucleotides) under Echinops telfairi (small Madagascar hedgehog). RNAcentral's name for it is "Small nucleolar RNA SNORA61 (ENSETEG00000025154.1)". Lineage: Eukaryota; Metazoa; Chordata; Mammalia; Afrosoricida; Tenrecidae. The record is from RNAcentral.
CCGCCCCAGAUUCCUUAGCCAUCAGAUCUAAACCUGGGUCUGAGUAGCUAGAGAAGGGGAAAAGUAAAACGGAUUUGGAUUCUUUUGUGACAUACAAGUUUGUUUCAAACAACA